CAUUUAUUUGUUGAGCCCUCUCAAGGCAACAACUAAAAUUACUUCUUUUUUUUUUUUUUUUUUAAAACGCUUUAAAACGUUUCCAAACUAAAGCAACGAGACCCACUUUAAAUACUUUAAUGGGUUAUAUUUUCCUUUAUAUUAAAAUUCAAACUUAAAGUGAUGAAAACUCAAUAGGCAAGCUCGGUCGUGAUGAUUUGUUUCCAUAUUUCAAUAUUUUCCUUAAUACUAACAUCCGAAAUUAAGGCAAGCUCCAUCAGAACACAUGAUGAGAAAUUCGUUUGCAUAUCGCGAAUUGGGGCUUGAUCGGACCAGGGUAUGGAUACACAGGAAGAAACUUCAAUGCUGUGCACGUAUUUGUCCUCAAGGCCAUCAAUUGAUGCUCGAUCGUGAUGAAUUGUUUCCAUACUUCAAUAUUUUCCUUAAUACUAACAUCCGAAAUUAAAGUAUUAACUCAAUACACAAGCUCCAUCAGGACACAUAAUUUAAAUUACUUAAUAUAUUCCUUAAUACCAAAAUCCAAAAUUAAAGUAUUAACUCAAUAGGCAAGCUCCAUCAGAACACAUGAUGAGAAAUACGUUAGAAUAUCGUGAAUUGGGGCUUGAUCGGACCAGGGUAUGGAUAUACAAAAAGAAACUUCAAUGCUGUGCACGUAUUUGUCCUUAAGGCCAUCAAUUGAUGCUCGGUCGUGAUGAAUUGUUUCCAUACUUCAAUAUUUUCCUUUAUACUAACUUCCGAAAUUAAGGCAAGCUCCAUCAGAACAAUUAACAACAGGGUAAUAUUGGGACCAGGGUAUGGAUACACAGGAAGAAACUUGAAUGCUGUGCACGUAUUUGUCCUCAAGGCCAUCAAUUGAUGCUCGGUCGUGAUGAAUUGUUUCCAUACUUCAAUAUUUUCCUUAAUACUAACAUCCGAAAUUAAAGUAUUAACUCAAUACACAAGCUCCAUCAGGACACAUAAUUUAAAUUUCUUUAUAUAUUCCUUAAUACCAAAAUCCAAAAUUAAAGUAUAAACUCAAUAGGCAA
Molecule: long non-coding RNA, 1025 nt
Organism: Drosophila willistoni
Lineage: Eukaryota; Metazoa; Arthropoda; Insecta; Diptera; Drosophilidae
Exons: 3
Source: RefSeq, a predicted model, not a curated record